CGCCCGCCCGCGGGGCUGCAGCGUCCCCGGGGCUGCGCGGAGGGCGCUUCCCUCCCCCGCAUCCCUAGCAAGGGGGGGGAAGGGCCGGACGGGGGGGGUGUCCGGCGGGGAUCAAGUGCUGGCUGCGGAUCCCCGUGCCUGCUAAAUCCCUCUGCCUGAGGGGAGGCAGAAGAGACCACAGCUCACGGCUAGCGAAUCUCUCUCCCUCUGCGCUCUCCUGCUGCUUGUUAGCUUGGAUUGAGCACUGUCCACAGAACUUCUCAUCAGCUCCCAGUACAGGCAGAGUGAAUUUGGAUCUCUCUGAAGAACCAGCCCAGAUUCAGGAUAUGUUUUUCUUCGUCUGAGUAAUAGUCAGGCAUCUGCACUGCAUACCGUAGUUGGAUGGAGCUUCUCAGGAUACUUGCUUUUCAGAUGGGCUUUGUAGUAGCAUCUCCUUGCAGAAUUGACUUCAGAAAAUAAUUUUCCCUGCUAGCAUUAUCUUAGUUUAAAAAGGAUGAAGGUUGUAAAGAUGUGGGUUUUUUUUCAGCUAAUGGUUACUCAGCUGACCCCUUUGCUUUUACAUUUUGUCUCUCAAGGGUUCUGUUAAAUAAAAUUUAUAUUAAUAGUACA
RNAcentral lists this long non-coding RNA (609 nucleotides) under Apteryx owenii (little spotted kiwi). Its description in RNAcentral is "lncRNA (ENSAOWG00000003484.1)". Lineage: Eukaryota; Metazoa; Chordata; Aves; Apterygiformes; Apterygidae. The record is from RNAcentral.